CGGGUGCGUAACGCGUAUACAAUCUACCUUUACAGAGGAUAGCCCAGAGUAAUUGGAUUAAUACCUACAUAGUAUUUUCGGAUCGCAUGAUUUGAUUAUUAAAGUUCCAACGGUUAAAAGAUGAGUAUGCGUCCCAUUAGCUAGAUGGUAAGGUAACGGCUUACCAUGGCAAUGAUGGGUAGGGGUCCUGAGAGGGAGAUCCCCCACACUGGUACUGAGACACGGACCAGACUCCUACGGGAGGCAGCAGUGAGGAAUAUUGGACAAUGGGCGCAAGCCUGAUCCAGCCAUGCCGCGUGCAGGAAUAAGGUCCUAUGGAUUGUAAACUGCUUUUAUACAGGAAGAAACACACCCUCGUGAGGGUACUUGACGGUACUGUAUGAAUAAGGACCGGCUAACUCCGUG
This 405-nucleotide ribosomal RNA is filed under the name uncultured bacterium. Its description in RNAcentral is "bacterial SSU rRNA". It matches the Rfam family "Bacterial small subunit ribosomal RNA", at positions 103 to 507 of the family's 1533-position model. The record is from RNAcentral.